Molecule: long non-coding RNA, 3311 nt
Filed under: Musa acuminata (dwarf banana)
Lineage: Eukaryota; Viridiplantae; Streptophyta; Magnoliopsida; Zingiberales; Musaceae
Description: long non-coding RNA (MACU_LNC000983)
Source: RNAcentral
CGCAACAACAAAAAAAAACAACAUACCCGUCAGCUACUUUAUUUCCCCGGCUCAGUUGCUUAUCGUGAACUUGCACUAAAACCAGUGCACAUGUAGCCCGCCUGAUUUGACCGACUCAGUGUGUUGACUCUAUAUUUUGUGAAUGGCCGGCCCGCUAUAAUAACACCCCUCAUCAAUGCACAGUUGUGGUCAACCUCGGAACGUUUCGGCUUAGGUAAAGUAACGAUUUCUGAUGGAAGAUUCCAAAGUGGGACAGAUUGAUGUGGUGGUCUAUGUCUGCCAAACUAUCCACCGGCGGAUUGAAAAAGAGGACUUUUUAUCAUUUCCGGCUCAUGUUCGGAAAUUCUAACCCAAGAAUGAAUUCCGCUCCGGACUUCACUAGCUCUUUAGGGAAUUGCAUCGCGAGUUAAAGUCGGGGUACGAAAGACUCGGGUUCUUGGGUUAUGGAAAGAUGGACCCUCCUCAUAACCGAACCUUUGGUCUGGCGCAUCAACAUCAGAUUUGGCCCACCACCCACCCCGUGGGUGCAGCCGAUGCACCCAAAUCCUUAUGACCCCACCCGCAUUGAGGCACAACCUUUUCUGUAGUGCCAUGCGAUUGUGUCGCCGAGUCAAGCCCAAGAGGGGACCGGCGUGUAGGCAACAUAUAGGGCCAAUGGAUAAAGUCGGUUGAAGAGAAGGAUACGAUACUAGAGAGAGACCUCAAGCACAAAACGAUUAGCGAUUUAACGAGAGUAAAAGGAAGAGGAACAUACACUUUUUUUUUUUGUUGAUGGGAAAUUGUUCUUCGGAAGUAGGGAGUGGCUGAGGGUGGUGGAGACGUUGUUGACAUGCCAAGAACAUCUUGUUCGCCAGCGAUAUCGCUGCCAACGCAAUAGACAUUUGAGUAAUAAAUAUUAUUUACGAUAUGGAAAGAGUCAUACUAUCAGGUCGAUACAAGACAUAGUUAGUUGUAUGCAGCAUUUAAUGUGUGUACCUUCUGUCACAUCGGUGAUGGACCAUCCAACAAAUACCCGAGCUUUUUUUUCUUGUUUCUUGUGUGAACUCAUCUCACAACCAUCAUAUCCGACUCAUUGAGUGAGUAGUGUUAUGCAUACACACUCCUAAGGAAACAUUUGUGUGAAUGAACGGAUAUGAAGUAAAGUACAAACAUGACAGUUUGCAGUCUUCGUGGAAAAAAUAAAAGUGCAAUUAACAAUAUUGAAAUUUCCAAACCUAACAUUUACGCACUCGUUUCACAAGUUCAUGUAAGAACAAAAAGUACAUUGUCGUUCAGACAUGCCAAUCAUGAAUGCUAAACUAAUAGGCAUGACCAACAUGGUUGAUGAUAUCUAAUAAGAUCAAGUGUAAUAUAUGUUUUUACCGGUCUAAUUCUAUGUGGAGAUAUUGUUUAGUAAUUAAUAAAAUUUAAGUUAGUAACAAGGCAAUAACAUAGUUCUAAUUUUGGUAAAGCUUUGUCCAUCUCCGAUUGUGCAAUAACAUAGGACAAUGAUGCUUUUCCCCAAGUUUCAAGUGAAGCAUUUAGAUAGAUGGGCAUUAAUGACCGCCAAACUCUAAAAAGUCAUCAUGAACCAUAUUGGCUAUUUUACCUUGUCAAUAGAGUCGACGAUAUGAUUCAUAAACUAAGACAUACAAUGUCUACAACACAACUUCUCAGCUGCCUAAAUAAUCACUGAAAAAUAUGAUAAUAACAUUGCACCAAUCUGAAGUUUCAGCAUACUUUUUCGCUCUAUACCAGAAUAUUUUGUUAAAAAGGAUUGCAGCUAUAUGUCAAAAUUGAUGUAAUGCCGCAUACUGAUGUAGAUAGAAUGUUAAACCACACAAGGGCAAGACCAUGGCUGACUAUAUCUUUGUCUAUGUAAAUUUAGAUUUCUACUAACAAUCGAUCCAAAACAAACAACUAUACUGUACUACAUAUUCACUAAUGUGAAUGUAGACUUUAUUAGAAAGUAAAAAUAGACCCAAAGCAGACAACCAUACUGUGUCAUCUUUGAGAAACCAUUUUAGCUCAGACAAUAUGAUUGAUAUCAAUGGGACCGAUCACAUCACUUGACCUUCAAACAGAAUGCAUACACAUUAACGAACUCCAACUCUGCAAAUGCAUAUAUGAAAGAAUUUCCAAGCCCAAAAUAUCCCAAAAAAGGAUGAUUACACACAAGGCUUCCAUUAAUACAAUGUCUUGCAUAUGCAGCUUUACUGAGAUUGUUUUCACAUAAGGCAUCAUGCCCAAUUCGAGGAUAAAGUCAAGAAGAAUGUGGACAACGAACAAACCCCGACAAUGGCAUCGAUCAAAUAUCCAGCUUCUCCACCUUCGUUCAACUUUCUAUCUCUGGUUUCAUCGGCACAACUCAUUAAUUGAUUGGAUCUUUGUUUGACUCAUUUAUGAAUCAUGGAUCAAAUAGAUCUUGGUUAGAUCUGCCCAUGCAUUGAAGGAUUUGGACAGUCAAGAUUUUCAUUGUGGUUGGCUUAGGAUUCUCGGAUUGCCCAAUGGAUUUCUUGUUGUAAUAGUAUAGUGUUCUUUGGCCUCUUCUAAAAAUAACUUUCCGUAGUAUCAUCAUACAUUUCGAAGAUACAGACAGAGAAACUACAUGUGUUCAUGUGCACCCGCAUGCUUUUCUAGAAAAGUGAGGCCCAUGUGAAUUUGAUCAUCAAAUAGAAAUCAUAGGCUACCAACAUUUCAUAAUUGUUUAGUGGAUUAUACAAUGGCAAAAUCGGCAGCCAUCGCACUGUGCUCGCAGAAUACUACCAUAUAAAAACAAUGAUCAACACCAAACUAAAAUUACAUGUAAAAGAAGAUCAGAUAAUAACACCCGGCUAUUACAUAUGAGGCAAACAAAAAAAACCCUAAUCCGGUCAUACCCUAACCUUAACCGUCCAAACCUCAUCAUAAGUAAACAGAUGAACCAGGAUCAUUGAUCCAUCCUAUAAUGUGUCUCGAUUUGAUGGAACAUGGUCGAAGCCAUGCGGAACUAAUGAUCGAUGCUCAACGAAAAUCUAUUUGUAAAAAUAGAUCAAGAAACACCUUCCUGAUCUAUCAUGAAAACCAUGAACAAGUCUAACCAAGAGCGAUACGAGCAGAGGAAGGAGGAUAAGAACCUGAUGGUCACGGCUCCCUUGUUGGAUGGCGGCUCUCGACUCAAAACCCAUCGAUAAACAAGCCAGGGAUCGAGGAUGAAUCGAGGGCGACGCCAGUGGAUCCAACCCUCGGGACCUGCUCUUGGCGGUGUUCUUUCUCGGGACGAAAUGGAGACUGCUGUCUCCCUCUCCCGAGAAUACACGAAGAAUCCCCCGUUCGAUGAAAUAAAGGAUCGA